RNAcentral lists this ribosomal RNA (466 nucleotides) under uncultured bacterium. RNAcentral's name for it is "bacterial SSU rRNA". It matches the Rfam family "Bacterial small subunit ribosomal RNA", at positions 329 to 793 of the family's 1533-position model. The record is from RNAcentral.
UUCCAGACUCCUACGGGAGGCAGCAGUGAGGAAUAUUGGUCAAUGGGAGAGAUCCUGAACCAGCCAAGCCGCGUGAGGGAAGACGGCCCUAUGGGUUGUAAACCUCUUUUGUCGGAGAACAAAACCCGGGACGUGUCCCGGACUGCGUGUAUCCGAAGAAAAAGCAUCGGCUAACUCCGUGCCAGCAGCCGCGGUAAUACGGAGGAUGCGAGCGUUAUCCGGAUUUAUUGGGUUUAAAGGGUGCGCAGGCGGAUUUUUAAGUCAGCGGUCAAAUCGUGGGGCUCAACCCCAUCCAGCCGUUGAAACUGGGGAUCUAGAGUGUGCGAGAGGUAUGCGGAAUGCGUGGUGUAGCGGUGAAAUGCAUAGAUAUCACGCAGAACCCCGAUUGCGAAGGCAGCAUACCGGUGCACAACUGACGCUCAGGCACGAAAGCGUGGGUAUCGAACAGGAUUAGAUACCCGCGUAC